Molecule: non-coding RNA, 781 nt
Filed under: Pan troglodytes (chimpanzee)
Lineage: Eukaryota; Metazoa; Chordata; Mammalia; Primates; Hominidae
Source: RNAcentral
GUGGGGCAGGGUGGCCUGGAGUGGGGGUGGGUAGUCAGUCAGGAAUGAGAGGUGGCUUUUUAUUCAUGAAGAAGAAAAUUCCCAGGGAACAGGAUGGCAAACGAGAAGGAAGGCUAUUGUGUAUGAGUGUACAGGUUGUACCCUGCACACUGGGGUUUGGAAGAGGAGACACACCAUAUAUAUUCCCCAAGUCAUGAAAGAAAUAAAGAAAAGACAAAGAUAACCUAGGUCAAACAAUGAAAGAACCAAAAAUGGAAAGAGGAAGAAAGUACAUGAAGUCGUGAAACAAAAUCCUGAAGAGUUUUCUGAGACUCGAAUGAGAUUAAAAGGCAUGAAGAACUCCAGAAAUGCAGGCUGCAAUAAUUAUUACUCUGAUCGUCAAUAGAAUCCAGAAUGCAACCAUCCAGAAGGGCAGGCUUUGGCUGCAGUGUUGCAGGGAGCGCCAGAUUGCAAGCCAAAAGAAAUGGAGAUGUAGGAAGGAUGCUACCACGGGGAGGCGGGUGUUCUCUGGAUGCAGAAGAUGAUAUACAGUCAUCAGUUACACACAAAUGUCAGGGAUUCUUCACUCAAAAGAAAGGAGAAAGCCACCACUUUGAAAGAAAGGAAAUAGUCAACAUAUUUGACAACCAGUAUGGAAUGGACCUGACCAAUGGGAACAGUGACACGAGCUGAAAUUCACUUCAGCUUUUGGGGUUGCUGCCACACUUGGGUAGAGACCUAAAGACCAACUUUUCUUUAACCUGCAUCAUUAAUCGUAUAAACCUUCCAGCUCACAGGUAUC